Molecule: microRNA precursor, 67 nt
Filed under: Bombyx mori (domestic silkworm)
Lineage: Eukaryota; Metazoa; Arthropoda; Insecta; Lepidoptera; Bombycidae
Description: mir-2774 microRNA precursor family
Rfam family: mir-2774 microRNA precursor family
Source: Rfam by way of RNAcentral
AUAAUAUUAGGACCGUCGGUCUACCGAACAAUAUCACCGGCUCGGUGGAAGAUCUUCUCUUCGUCAU